UACGUAGGCAGCAAGCGUUGUUCGGAAUUACUGGGCGUAAAGAGUGUGUAGGCGGUGUGCUAAGUUCGGUGUGAAAUCUCCUGGCUCAACUGGGAGGGUGCGCCGGAAACUGGCAUGCUGGAGCGUGGGAGAGGAAAGCGGAAUUCCUGGUGUAGCGGUGAAAUGCGUAGAGAUCAGGAGGAACACCAGCGGUGUAGACGGCUUUCUGGACCACAGCUGACGCUGAGACACGAAAGCGUGGGUAGCAAACAGG
This 253-nucleotide ribosomal RNA is filed under the name uncultured bacterium. Its description in RNAcentral is "partial 16S ribosomal RNA". It matches the Rfam family "Bacterial small subunit ribosomal RNA", at positions 524 to 776 of the family's 1533-position model. The record is from RNAcentral.